GACGAACGCUGGCGGCGUGCUUAACACAUGCAAGUCGAACGGAAAGGCCUACCUUCCCUCGUGGAUUGCGGGUACUCGAGUGGCGAACGGGUGAGUAACACGUGAGUGAUCUGCCCCCAACUUGGGUAUAAGCCUGGGAAACUGCGUCUAAUUUCCGAUAGGACUGCAGGGUGCUGCCUGCCGUGGAAUACGAUAUUCUAGUGGGUGGGGAUGGGUUCGCGGCCUAUUAGAUUGGUGGCGGGGUAAUGACCUACCAAGGCGGGGACAGGUAGCCAGACUGAGAGGGUGGACAGUCAAAUUGGGACUGGGACACGGCCCAGACUGGUACGGGAGGCAGCAGUGGGGAAUAGUGGACAGUGGGCGGGAGCCUGAUGCAGCGAGGGCGCGUGGGGGAUGACGGGCUUCUGGUUGUAAUCACCUUUGGAGCGCGGGGAAGCCGCCUGGUUGGAAGGGUGGUGACGUUAGUGGUAGAAGAAGCACCGGCUAACUACGUG
RNAcentral lists this ribosomal RNA (494 nucleotides) under uncultured bacterium. RNAcentral describes it as "partial 16S ribosomal RNA". It matches the Rfam family "Bacterial small subunit ribosomal RNA", at positions 28 to 507 of the family's 1533-position model. The record is from RNAcentral.